RNAcentral lists this ribosomal RNA (852 nucleotides) under uncultured Chloroflexota bacterium. RNAcentral describes it as "bacterial SSU rRNA". It matches the Rfam family "Bacterial small subunit ribosomal RNA", at positions 28 to 896 of the family's 1533-position model. The record is from RNAcentral. Lineage: Bacteria; Bacillati; Chloroflexota.
GAUAAACGUUGGCGGUGUGCCUUAUGCAUGCAAGUCGUACGAGGUUAUGGUCUUCGGAUUGUAACCGAGUGGCGGACGGCUGAGUAACACGUAAGCAACCUGCCUUCAAGUGGGGAAUAACCUGUCGAAAGGCAGGCUAAUACCGCAUAUGAUAAUCGAGUGUUGCUCGAUUAUUAAAGCCUUAGGGCGCUUGGAGAUGGGCUUGCGUCUGAUUAGCUAGUUGGUGAGGUAAUGGCUUACCAAGGCGAUAAUCAGUAGCUGGUCUGAGAGGAUGGUCAGCCAGAUGGGGACUGAGAUACGGCCCCAACUCCUACGGGAGGCAGCAGCAAGGGAUAUUGGGCAAUGGGCGAAAGCCUGACCCAGCGACACCGCGUGAGGGAGGAAGGCCUUCGGGUCGUAAACCUCUUUUCUCGAGGAAGAAUUUUGACGGUACUCGAGGAAUAAGCCUCGGCUAACUACGUGCCAGCAGCCGCGGUAAGACGUAGGAGGCGAACGUUAUCCGGAUUUAUUGGGCGUAAAGAGAGCGUAGGCGGCUUUUUAAGUCAAGUGUGAAAUCUUGUGACUCAAUCAGAAGAAGCCGCUUGAUACUGGAAGGCUUGAGGGAAGCAGAAGGAAAUGGAAUUCCCAGUGUAGCGGUGAAAUGCGUUGAUAUUGGGAAGAACACCAGUGGCGAAGGCGAUUUCCUAGGCUUUUCCUGACGCUGAGGCUCGAAAGCGUGGGGAGCGAAGCGGAUUAGAUACCCGCGUAGUCCACGCCUUAAACGGUGGACAUUAGGUAUGGGGAGUAUCGACCCUCUCCGUGUCGAAGCUGACGCUUUAAAUGUCCCGCCUGGGGAGUACGGCCGCAAGGCUA